This 307-nucleotide long non-coding RNA is filed under the name Elaeis guineensis (African oil palm). RNAcentral describes it as "long non-coding RNA (EGUI_LNC014611)". Lineage: Eukaryota; Viridiplantae; Streptophyta; Magnoliopsida; Arecales; Arecaceae. The record is from RNAcentral.
AGAUCAAAAAAAUUAAAAAAAUCUAAAAAUUAGGCUAUGCGAUCAUGACAUACAACCUAAUUCUGAUACCAAUUGAAGAAAAAAUUAGCCGAUCAUAGCGGAUGCCAGAAAGAAAAUUGAAUAGAUUAGCAAUUAAAUUUUUUGUAACAUUUAUGAAAUCUUACCUUGAUUUACAGUGAAAGACUUAAUCAAGGUUGAAAAAUUUCUGAAGGUUGUUACUUUGCGAGAUUCGGAUGUCCAAAUCCUUUACUUCACUCGCAUGCCAACCAACGUAGGAGAGAGAGAUGAAGCUCUUCUUCAGAAGGGG